Molecule: ribosomal RNA, 253 nt
Filed under: uncultured bacterium
Lineage: Bacteria
Description: partial 16S ribosomal RNA
Rfam family: Bacterial small subunit ribosomal RNA
Source: RNAcentral
UACAGAGGUCCCGAGCGUUGUUCGGAUUCAUUGGGCGUAAAGGGUGCGUAGGCGGCGGGGAAAGUCUGAUGUGAAAUCCUGGGGCUCAACCCUGGAACUGCAUUGGAUACUUCCUUGCUAGAGUACUGGAGAGGAAACUGGAACUUACGGUGUAGCAGUGAAAUGCGUAGAGAUCGUAAGGAAGACCAGUGGCGAAGGCGAGUUUCUGGACAGUUACUGACGCUGAGGCACGAAGGCCAGGGGAGCAAACGGG